AGAACAUAAACCUCCACAUGGAUAAAGACUGAAUUACUUUUCUGUAUAUCAUUUGCUGUGCCUCGUACUGGGGCUGGCACAUGGUAAGUGCUUAGCAUGUUUUUGUUGACUAACAAAUGAAUGAUUUCUGUUGGGCUUGGCUCUGCCUCAUUUCACUGUGAGCCUCUGGUUCCAUUUUAAUUCAGGUCCACAACCUCUUCUCAUCCUUAUUUUCUACUGGAAGCGGAGAAGGAGUGAGUCAAACCCUAAGGAUGUUCCCUCCACUAUGCAGACUCACAUGAUGGUGAAUCAGGGGUUCUCAGGAUGUUGUUGCCAAGAGACUUCCUCACAGACACUGUGUGCUGCCUUUGUUUUCCUUUCCAAAUGCAUAUGGAGGAAUCUUCCAGAACUGAGGCCCCAUCAGUGAAUUGCACCUGCAGUGUGGUCCUGCACAUUUUUCUGUAACAAGCCCAGGAAUAGAGGCAGGUGAUGUGAUCUAAGGUACAGCCUCAGGUCGCAGGCGGGCUGUUGUCAGUCCUGCCUUCAAACCAGGUGAAUUGCUUGGCCACUCUGGGCCUCAUGUCCUCAUCUCUAAAGCGUGGACGGUGAUGCUGCCUAUCUCAUAGGUAUGCUUUGCAGAUCAGGUGCAUGAGAAAGCCCAGGGAACACCCAUGAAUGGGACUCAUUGUGGCUUUAC
RNAcentral lists this long non-coding RNA (676 nucleotides) under Bos indicus x Bos taurus (hybrid cattle). RNAcentral describes it as "lncRNA (ENSBIXG00000018193.1)". The record is from RNAcentral. Lineage: Eukaryota; Metazoa; Chordata; Mammalia; Artiodactyla; Bovidae.